UCUGUAAUAGGAGGUACUAAGUUAGUUUUUUAGAUCUUCAACAUGGUUAAUCGAAAUUCCCCACGGCUGUUGAGUAAUCCUCUGUUUUUACCGUGCAUAAUUCGCUUUUGUUUGUGGUGAUAAGGAUUGUGGGACACAGACAUGAAAACAACACACGGCAACAAUCGAUAUCGAAAUUAGAAAACGGUUAGCUAAGAAUAAAACAUGAGAGAGAGAGAGAGAGAGAGAGCUAGAGAGAGGGAGAGAGAAGUAAGCUUGGCUUACGUUGACAACACAAAAAUAGCAGAGAAAAGCGUACCAAAAGAAAUUCAAAAUGCAAAUGCACAGUGGAGUGAGCGCGUCCCUGCAUUCGGCAGCGUUUAUUGAUUACGAAUGGGAAAAACAACAGAUUUAAUAAGUGAUGAGUAACGAUAAUUUAUAAGCACAGAGCAAAAAAGCACUACUUUUUGACAUUCGUCACAGUUAUUGUUUUAGUCAAUUUAAUAUUAUAUUGUACUAUUAAAAAAUAAAGCAAAUGUGCCACAA
Molecule: long non-coding RNA, 525 nt
Organism: Drosophila simulans
Lineage: Eukaryota; Metazoa; Arthropoda; Insecta; Diptera; Drosophilidae
Exons: 2
Source: RefSeq, a predicted model, not a curated record